This 613-nucleotide ribosomal RNA is filed under the name uncultured bacterium. Its description in RNAcentral is "bacterial SSU rRNA". The stretch from base 1 to 518 matches the Rfam family "Bacterial small subunit ribosomal RNA", at positions 338 to 873 of the family's 1533-position model. The record is from RNAcentral.
CCUACGGGAGGCAGCAGUGGGGAAUAUUGGACAAUGGGCGAAAGCCUGAUCCAGCAAUGCCGCGUGAGUGAUGAAGGCCUUCGGGUCGUAAAGCUCUUUUACCAGGGAUGAUAAUGACAGUACCUGGAGAAUAAGCUCCGGCUAACUCCGUGCCAGCAGCCGCGGUAAUACGGAGGGAGCUAGCGUUGUUCGGAAUUACUGGGCGUAAAGAGUACGUAGGCGGUUAUUCAAGUCAGAGGUGAAAGCCCGGGGCUCAACCCCGGAACUGCCUUUGAAACUAGAUAACUAGAGUCUUGGAGAGGUUAGUGGAAUUCCGAGUGUAGAGGUGAAAUUCGUAGAUAUUCGGAAGAACACCAGUGGCGAAGGCGACUAACUGGACAAGUACUGACGCUGAGGUACGAAAGCGUGGGGAGCAAACAGGAUUAGAUACCCUGGUAGUCCACGCCGUAAACGAUGAUAACUAGUUGUUCGGUCACUUGGUGACUGAGUGACGCAGACACGACAUUAAGUUAUCCGUCCGUCGGGUAGGUACGGUCGCGAGAAGUUAAAACGUUAAAAGGUAAAGUUAGUACGGCGUGAGUAACGUGCCGACGGACGACGACGAGGGAGGAGG